This is a long non-coding RNA of Cannabis sativa, 509 nucleotides long. RefSeq lists it as uncharacterized. The transcript is spliced from 4 exons. NCBI's taxonomy places the organism in Eukaryota, Viridiplantae, Streptophyta, Magnoliopsida, Rosales, Cannabaceae. The record is from RefSeq and is a predicted model, not a curated record.
UCUUCCCCAUAAAGAAAAUGGCAGCCAUUCUCCCCUAAUCUAAAAUUUCAAACAUUGAUGUUCUCUUCUUCUAUUUCAUCACAACCAUUUCAAAAAAAAGAUUGAAAUAUAUUUGGGUAAGCUUCAUACAACAUAAAGGAAGCUUGAGAAUUGAUUGGAGGUUCAUUUUGUGCUUCGUGUACUACUUAGUUUUUAAUGAUGCUCAUGAUGAUGUUGUUGGGGAAGAAAUUGAAAAGCCCUAAUUAAGGUUUUGCGGUUAAUCAUCAAGGGUCUAAAUUGAAGGGAGAACACGAUUUCUUCCAAGUGUUGAUUGGUUUGCUGGCUAGCUAGAGGUAUAUACUUUUUCUAUCUUUUAAUUAAUUAUGAAUUAGUAAGCAUAUUAGAUGAGUUUGAAUAUCUUAAUUUUAGGCAAUUCUUAUUUUGUGCACAGUUUUUAUUAGUAAGGAUUUAGCAUAUUUUGUAAUGUAUACUUUUAAUUUUGUUAUAAUAUAAUUAGAAUAUAUUUUGUA